RNAcentral lists this ribosomal RNA (114 nucleotides) under uncultured bacterium. RNAcentral describes it as "partial 16S ribosomal RNA". It matches the Rfam family "Bacterial small subunit ribosomal RNA", at positions 1371 to 1482 of the family's 1533-position model. The record is from RNAcentral.
UUCCCGGGCCUUGUACACACCGCCCGUCACACCACGAAAGUUGGCAAUACCCGAAGCCGGUGGCCUAACCCGCAAGGGAGGGAGCCGUCAAAGGUAGGGUCGAUGAUUGGGGUG